RNAcentral lists this ribosomal RNA (433 nucleotides) under uncultured bacterium. RNAcentral's name for it is "partial 16S ribosomal RNA". It matches the Rfam family "Bacterial small subunit ribosomal RNA", at positions 29 to 507 of the family's 1533-position model. The record is from RNAcentral.
AACGAACGCUGGCGGCAUGCCUAACACAUGCAAGUCGAACGAUCCCUUCGGGGAUAGUGGCGCACGGGUGCGUACCGCGUGGGAACCUGCCCUUAGGUUCGGAAUCACUCAGAGAAAUUUGAGCUAAUACCGCAUAAUGUCUUCGGACCAAGGAUUUAUCGCCUUUGGAUGGGCGCGCGUUGGAUUCGCUGGUUGGUGGGGGAAAGGCCUACCAAGGCGACGAUCCAUAGCUGGUCUGAGAGGAUGAUCAGCCACACUGGCACUGAGACACGGCCCAGACUCCUACGGGAGGGAGCAGUGGGGAAUAUUGGACAAGGGGCGAAAGCCUGAUCAAGCAAUGCGGCGUGAGAGAUGAAGGCCGUAGGAUUGUAAAGCUCUUUGAGACGGGAUGAUAAUGACAGUACCGGGAGAAUAAGCCCCGGCUAACUCCGUG